Molecule: long non-coding RNA, 4092 nt
Organism: Felis catus (domestic cat)
Lineage: Eukaryota; Metazoa; Chordata; Mammalia; Carnivora; Felidae
Exons: 8
Source: RefSeq, a predicted model, not a curated record
GGGGCCUGGCAGGCGGCGCGGCGGCCGCGGUGGCAGCCCGGGAGCCUCGGCGGGAGGUGACACAGCCCGCGCCCACCCCCCACUCCCCCUCCAGCGCAGGCGGCACUGGCCCAGCUCAGAAGGGCGGGCUGUCGCGAGCAGGGGCAGCGGCAGCCGCGGAAGGGACAGGAGUCCGCACAUCCGAGAGCUGCGGCCAGGGCGGCCAGGGCCUGAAUGCAGCUCUGGGAACCGGUGCCGCCCGGCUCCUUCCAGCGGCCUCCUCGCGUCCGGAGCCCAAGCUGACGCCGGGGCCGGAAGCAGCCAGAGGCGGUGCCCGGGCCCCCACCCCCCAGGGCAGGGGGCCCGGCGAGGCCUGGGAGGCAGACAGGCCGCCAGGUGCAGCAGGCCGGGCGGGGAGAUGCCUCACUCCUCGAGGACUUGCUCGGGGACGGCGGGCAGGGGCUGAGACCCCGCGGCCCCGCGGUCACCGGUUGAGUCCCCUCAUAGGCCUGCUCGGAGACACAGAAUCCGGCGCUCGGGAGAAUGCUCACGAUCGCAUAAGGGCACGUUGGCUCUCCCUGCCCGGGCUGCGUGUCCCUUGUUUUCAGGUGUGCCUUGACUCACUCCUAGACCCGGCUGGCGAAUGCCCACGGUCCCGGAGAACCCUUGGGGGGUUUCUAGACGCGGAUCCCAGCCUUGCUGGAGACUCGAUCCCCAGAACACCCGACCACCGCCCAACCUCCACCAAUUAGCCAUCUCGGAAACAUCAGUUGGGCGCUGCCUUCCAGAACUAGCAGUGUGCCCACAGGUGCUCUGGCGAGUCUAACUGGGGCUGUUAAUUGAGCAUUUAACUCGCACCUGUAAGUGCGUCCAUCUGUGCUGAGACUCUGUGACAUCAUUGUUUGGGGCGUGGGUGCCGUGUACCGUCUCCUCCGUGCAGCCUGCUAAGUCAGAAUACAGCCAAUUUUGCCCAAAGAUGCCAAAAGCUGCAACAGCAAACACAAGCCAGAUGUAGCCCAGAGGACCUCCGUGAGCACGGAUUGAACCAAACGGCUUCCUAGUUUCCGGUUGCUGUCUCUGUGUGUACGAGAAGACGAAUUCAGACGUGUGGAAAGAACCCCAUUUGGGCCAUCCGAGACUUCGAUUUUCCCAGUUAAUCCCCAGAGGUGGAUUACAACACGUCCAACCUUUCCCGGUGACCGCGGGGACACGCAGGAUUUCUCCCACUCUCCUCUCGACAUGCUGCGCCUCCCGCUGCAAAUGGACACCCCUUUUGCCACCCGUCUGUGGCAGGGAGCAGAAUUCCGGGGACUACGGUCUUGGAGCUUCUCAGAUGGACCGUCCACCUCCUCACCGGCACUCGCGGUGCCAAAGGGAGCCCGCGCGGGUGGCCGCCGGCCCUGCAGACACAACACGGCCACACCGGGUCCCCGAGCACGGAAGUGAGCCUCAUGCAGGAAUUUUUAAAUCGCACAUGUAGUGCCUACUUCUGCUGAACAACCCUGAGCCAGACAACACGGGAUGAAGACUUCGUUUUCUUAAGAGAAAAGAACUCUCAUCAACUUCCGUGAGAAGCGUUUACCUGAAGUCUCUAUUCUUACGUGUUUCUCUGGAGCUUCCCCGGAGCCGCCAAAUCCGUGCUCGACAGCUGCGUGAGCCAGCUGGCUGCAGACAGCUCCUGGAGUGCUUAAGGAUGAUUUCUUGGCAGCUUUUGGAAGAAAACACUAAUUGAAAGGUUAAUCAAAUCAGUCAUCCUCGCGUGUUCGUUAAGCAGACGCCCCGUCUCCGCCACAGACUGAACAGAUGCGGGGCUCUGCGUCCGCGCCUUCGCUUUUGAGCACGGAAGCAGUGGGGUGGCAUUCUGAAUCGAAAUCGUGUUCUCGGUUGGGAAACUCUGCUUCCCUUUCAGGAUCUUGCGGGAUCUACGUUGGUAGCGACACUAAUUCCAAUUCUACCGGGGAUUUUUUUGUUUGUUUGUUUAUUCUGAGAGGGGGAGAGAGAGAAUCCCAAGCAGCCUCCACACUGUCGGCACAGAGUCCAAGGCGGGGCUUGAGUCCCUGAACCAACGUGAGACGAAGUCAAGUCAGACACUUGACCAACCGGGCCACCCAGGCGCCUCUGCAGGUGUUCCGCCUAAACCAAGUUCAAGAGUUAAACUGUAGAGGCUGUGCGGUUAGAGGAGAACCCAUCAAGUGGGUCACAACCGUUUCAAGGAAGACGUCUGUUUCUAGGAAGGCAUUUCGGGAAUCGUUAUGGAAGCAAACGCUGAACACGCCAGAUGCCCACGUAAAGACAAUCAGAUUUAAACACGAGUGGCUGAGAAAACGACACGGAUCUGCAAUAUGACAUGUCCCCGUCAGGGAGAAGUCAGCACGACCACCUAGAAGGACUUCGCUCCUGGUGCCCUGAACGACGCGGGGCAGAUGAGGAGGGGCGGACGACCAGCCCUCUGACGGAGCCUGCAAUCAGAUCUGUGCCCGGACACCCCUGGACGCCAUCCCCGUACCCUGUGCUGCACGUGAGAUCGCACUGCACGGCCAGCAUCCGAACCGAACGCACGCAUCAGGAUCGGGAAGGAUCAGGAGGCGGAGGCUGAGGCCUUAUUCCCCCCAACGUCCAAACGCCGAAGCCUUCCUAUUUCCCAGUACAAGGCAAAAGUAUCAAGUGACUCACUGGGACGUGGCUGACAUUUAUGAAUUUAAUGGUGAGUUAUCAGGAGUAAGAAAGCAAAUGAGGCGUUUGCUGGGACGAAAGCAGAGAUAAAGUCGAGAAAAACACGUGUCGGUUUCCCACAUCAGCAACGGAGCUGUGGACGCUACGUACCGAUAAACGUCUGACACUUGAAACACUCUUCCAGCCAGUCCGGCGUCACGAUGUGCUUCACCACGGAGAUGGCCGUCAGGAACUUCACCGUGCGCGUCACUUUGCUGGCGAUGAGGUGCGUGCAUUUCUGCGCAGACUCGGCGACCUCGCCCCCAAGGAUGUAGAGCUUCUGGAGGGAGGGGCACAGAGCGGAGGUGAGCGCGGGGCCGCGCCUGAGCGCGGCACACUGCGCUGGCCUGAGAGCCGGGAGACGGCGAGCACAGCAACGCGCACGGACGUGUCCGGAGUCGACCCCGCGCCUUGAGCUAAAACCAGCGAUUCCCCGAGGGCCCCAGUAUCACACCCCACAGACACGAUGCCCGGAGAACAAGGCGGCGCGUUUCACGAAAAGGCGCGAACAUGCCCAGACUUUCUAAGCUGAAAUGGGUGUUGAUGAGGCACAUUAACGGACAGGCCCUGUUCAUAAGAAUUAGAGAAGUGACUGAGAAGACGUGAACAUCCAGGAAAGAUCUCCGUAACUAGGCUCAAUUUUAAAAGUGAGAAAAAUUGAUACGGCACUCAGGACGGUUUCUUCUCCUUCAAAACCCGAGCGGUACGAUGAACGAAGCCCACGUGGUAACAGGCCGACUUACGCCCUCUGAACCGCCGCCCCCGAAACAACAGCCAAGCGAGAUGCCCCCUCCCUUGUGCCGUUACUUCCGACAGCACGCUGAAGGCUGCGUUCCCACUUCCUGUCCAAGCACAAGCACGCGGCCGCCCUGGUCGCCACCCAGGAGAACCGGCCUCCGGUGGCCCGCGGCUUCCCCGCCGCCGGGGGUGCUUCUGGCACGAGCACGUUCAAGCAGGUUGCUCGCGUUCGCAGGACCGUAAAUGUGGGUCUUGUCUACUCACCCGAGUUAUAUUUUCUACUAUUGAGAGAGCAAGGGUCUAAGUAUAAAACUAUAAAAACCACAGAACAAGGUGAAACGUCACUUACGAUUUAAUGGCUACUUUUACUGUAAAAACGACUACAACUGAUUUAUAAGCCAAAAACUCUGUUGUCACAAGACGUUCCCGAUUAAAUGUUACUUUAACACACUGCCAGCCUAAAGCCAAGUGCACAAAAAGGAACGGUGCUAAAACUCCUCCCAGAACGUAGAACGGAAUUUCACCUUAAUAUACUGUUGAACUUGCACAGGCUCAAAUCCAGUGAAAAGCACAAAAGGGGUCAAUUCUGGUGUUAACUUUUUGGUGGGAGGGGGUAGAUCUUCAAUUCUGUGAAAGAAAGUAAACGUGUUGUUUAGCAAACGA